RNAcentral lists this ribosomal RNA (253 nucleotides) under uncultured bacterium. Its description in RNAcentral is "partial 16S ribosomal RNA". It matches the Rfam family "Bacterial small subunit ribosomal RNA", at positions 524 to 776 of the family's 1533-position model. The record is from RNAcentral.
UACGGAGGGGGCUAGCGUUGUUCGGAAUUACUGGGCGUGAAGCGCACGUAGGCGGCUUUGCAAGUCAGAGGUGAAAGCCCGGGGCUCAACCCCGGAAUUGCCUUUGAGACUGCAUCGCUAGAAUUGUGGAGAGGUAAGUGGAAUUCCGAGUGUAGAGGUGAAAUUCGUAGAUAUUCGGAAGAACACCAGUGGCGAAGGCGACUUACUGGACACAUAUUGACGCUGAGGUGCGAAAGCGUGGGGAGCAAACAGG